GACGAACGCUGGCGGCGUGCUUAACACAUGCAAGUCGAACGGUAAGGCUCCAGCUUGCUGGGGUACACGAGUGGCGAACGGGUGAGUAACACGUGGGUGACCUGCCCUGCACUUCGGAUAAGCCUGGGAAACUGGGUCUAAUACCGGAUAGGACCACGGUGUGGAUACUGUGGUGGAAAGUUUUUUCGGUGUGGGAUGGGCCCGCGGCCUAUCAGCUUGUUGGUGGGGUAAUGGCCUACCAAGGCGGCGACGGGUAGCCGGCCUGAGAGGGUGGACGGCCACAUUGGGACUGAGACACGGCCCAGACUCCUACGGGAGGCAGCAGUGGGGAAUAUUGCACAAUGGGCGGAAGCCUGAUGCAGCGACGCCGCGUGGGGGAUGACGGCCUUCGGGUUGUAAACUCCUUUCACCAUCGACGAAGGGUUUCUGACGGUAGAUGGAGAAGAAGCACCGGCUAACUACGUGCCAGCAGCCGCGGUAAUACGUAGGGUGCGAGCGUUGUCCGGAAUUACUGGGCGUAAAGAGCUCGUAGGUGGUUUGUCGCGUCGUCUGUGAAAUUCCGGGGCUUAACUCCGGGCGUGCAGGCGAUACGGGCAUAACUUGAGUACUGUAGGGGAGACUGGAAUUCCUGGUGUAGCGGUGAAAUGCGCAGAUAUCAGGAGGAACACCGGUGGCGAAGGCGGGUCUCUGGGCAGUAACUGACGCUGAGGAGCGAAAGCAUGGGGAGCGAACAGGAUUAGAUACCCUGGUAGUCCAUGCCGUAAACGGUGGGCGCUAGGUGUGGGUUUCCUUCCACGGGAUCCGUGCCGUAGCUAACGCAUUAAGCGCCCCGCCUGGGGAGUACGGCCGCAAGGCUAAAACUCAAAGGAAUUGACGGGGGCCCGCACAAGCGGCGGAGCAUGUGGAUUAAUUCGAUGCAACGCGAAGAACCUUACCUGGGCUUGACAUAUACAGGAUCGCGCCAGAGAUGGUGUUUCCCUUGUGGCUUGUAUACAGGUGGUGCAUGGUUGUCGUCAGCUCGUGUCGUGAGAUGUUGGGUUAAGUCCCGCAACGAGCGCAACCCUUGUCUUAUGUUGCCAGCACGUUGUGGUGGGGACUCGUAAGAAACUGCCGGGGUUAACUCGGAGGAAGGUGGGGAUGACGUCAAAUCAUCAUGCCCCUUAUGUCCAGGGCUUCACACAUGCUACAAUGGUCGGUACAGUGGGUUGCCAGUCCGUGAGGGCGAGCUAAUCCCGUAAAGCCGGUCUCAGUUCGGAUCGGGGUCUGCAACUCGACCCCGUGAAGUCGGAGUCGCUAGUAAUCGCAGAUCAGCAACGCUGCGGUGAAUACGUUCCCGGGCCU
RNAcentral lists this ribosomal RNA (1341 nucleotides) under uncultured bacterium. RNAcentral describes it as "16S ribosomal RNA". It matches the Rfam family "Bacterial small subunit ribosomal RNA", at positions 28 to 1381 of the family's 1533-position model. The record is from RNAcentral.